This 295-nucleotide unclassified non-coding RNA is filed under the name Ascomycota sp. RNAcentral's name for it is "partial contains small subunit ribosomal RNA, internal transcribed spacer 1, and 5.8S ribosomal RNA". The stretch from base 1 to 47 matches the Rfam family "Eukaryotic small subunit ribosomal RNA", at positions 1785 to 1831 of the family's 1831-position model. The record is from RNAcentral. Lineage: Eukaryota; Fungi; Ascomycota.
AAAGUCGUAACAAGGUUUCCGUAGGUGAACCUGCGGAAGGAUCAUUAAAAAAAAAAGUUGUGCGAGGCGGUCCCAGGCAUUGCCAGGUGGCCGCUUAGACAUCAACACCCUCUGUAUAUCUACUGCGUUGCUUUGGCGGGACGGCAGCCAACAGCUCUGCUGGGAGGCUGUCCGCAGGGCCUCUCAAGACCCCGCGAGUGCCCGCCAGAGGACCACCGAACUCAAUGUUAAACCAUGAUGUCUGAGCUUUACAAGCAAUAAGUUAAAACUUUCAACAACGGAUCUCUUGGUUCUC